CUUGCUUCUUUGCUGACGAGUGGCGGACGGGUGAGUAAUGUCUGGGAAACUGCCUGAUGGAGGGGGAUAACUAUUGGAAACGGUAGCUAAUACCGCAUAACGUCGCAAGACCAAAGAGGGGGACCUUCGGGCCUCUUGCCAUCGGAUGUGCCCAGAUGGGAUUAGCUAGUAGGUGGGGUAACGGCUCACCUAGGCGACGAUCCCUAGCUGGUCUGAGAGGAUGACCAGCCACACUGGAACUGAGACACGGUCCAGACUCCUACGGGAGGCAGCAGUGGGGAAUAUUGCACAAUGGGCGCAAGCCUGAUGCAGCCAUGCCGCGUGUAUGAAGAAGGCCUUCGGGUUGUAAAGUACUUUCAGCGGGGAGGAAGGGAGUAAAGUUAAUACCUUUGCUCAUUGACGUUACCCGCAGAAGAAGCACCGGCUAACUCCGUGCCAGCAGCCGCGGUAAUACGGAGGGUGCAAGCGUUAAUCGGAAUUACUGGGCGUAAAGCGCACGCAGGCGGUUUGUUAAGUCAGAUGUGAAAUCCCCGGGCUCAACCUGGGAACUGCAUCUGAUACUGGCAAGCUUGAGUCUCGUAGAGGGGGGUAGAAUUCCAGGUGUAGCGGUGAAAUGCGUAGAGAUCUGGAGGAAUACCGGUGGCGAAGGCGGCCCCCUGGACGAAGACUGACGCUCAGGUGCGAAAGCGUGGGGAGCAAACAGGA
This 705-nucleotide ribosomal RNA is filed under the name uncultured bacterium. RNAcentral's name for it is "bacterial SSU rRNA". It matches the Rfam family "Bacterial small subunit ribosomal RNA", at positions 75 to 777 of the family's 1533-position model. The record is from RNAcentral.